Molecule: ribosomal RNA, 478 nt
Filed under: uncultured bacterium
Lineage: Bacteria
Description: partial 16S ribosomal RNA
Rfam family: Bacterial small subunit ribosomal RNA
Source: RNAcentral
GACGAACGCUGGCGGCGUGCUUAACACAUGCAAGUCGAACGGUAAGGCCCUUCGGGGUACACGAGUGGCGAACGGGUGAGUAACACGUGGGUGAUCUGCCCUGCACUUCGGGAUAAGCCUGGGAAACUGGGUCUAAUACCGGAUAGGACCACUGCCUGCAUGGGUGGUGGUGGAAAGCUUUUGCGGUGUGGGAUGGGCCCGCGGCCUAUCAGCUUGUUGGUGGGGUGAUGGCCUACCAAGGCGACGACGGGUAGCCGGCCUGAGAGGGUGACCGGCCACACUGGGACUGAGAUACGGCCCAGACUCCUACGGGAUGCAGCAGUGUGGAAUAUUGCACAAUGGGCGCAAGCCUGAUGCAGCGACGCCGCGUGAGGGAUGACGGCCUUCGGGUUGUAAACCUCUUUCAGCACCGACGAAGCGCAAGUGACGGUAGGUGCAGAAGAAGGACCGGCCAACUACGUGCCAGCCGCCGCAGUAA